CCAGACUCCUACGGGAGGCAGCAGUCGGGAAUAUUGCGCAAUGGAGGAAACUCUGACGCAGUGACGCCGCGUAUAGGAAGAAGUUUUUCGGAAUGUAAACUAUUGCCGUUAGGGAAGAGAAAGGACAGUACCUAAGGAGGAAGCCACGGCUAACUACGUGCCAGCAGCCGCGGUAAUACGUAGGUGGCAAGCGUUAUCCGGAUUUAUUGGGUGUAAAGGGCGUGUAGGCGGGAAAGCAAGUCAGAUGUGAAAACUCAGGGCUCAACCCUGAGCCUGCAUUUGAAACUGUUUUUCUUGAGUGCUGGAGAGGCAAUCGGAAUUCCGUGUGUAGCGGUGAAAUGCGUAGAUAUACGGAGGAACACCAGUGGCGAAGGCGGAUUGCUGGACAGUAACUGACGCUGAGGCGCGAAAGCGUGGGGAGCAAACAGGAUUAGAUACCCUUGUA
RNAcentral lists this ribosomal RNA (445 nucleotides) under uncultured bacterium. RNAcentral's name for it is "bacterial SSU rRNA". It matches the Rfam family "Bacterial small subunit ribosomal RNA", at positions 331 to 792 of the family's 1533-position model. The record is from RNAcentral.